UGAUAAAAGAGGAAUCAAACCCCGUUAAUGAAACUACAGUCCACCGCCUAACACUCGGCCAUUUUACC
Molecule: transfer RNA, 68 nt
Filed under: Plica plica (tree runner)
Lineage: Eukaryota; Metazoa; Chordata; Lepidosauria; Squamata; Tropiduridae
Description: tRNA-Tyr
Source: RNAcentral